Molecule: ribosomal RNA, 440 nt
Filed under: uncultured bacterium
Lineage: Bacteria
Description: bacterial SSU rRNA
Rfam family: Bacterial small subunit ribosomal RNA
Source: RNAcentral
UACGGAAGGCAGCAGUGGGGAAUAUUGCACAAUGGGCGCAAGCCUGAUGCAGCCAUGCCGCGUGUAUGAAGAAGGCCUUCGGGUUGUAAAGUACUUUCAGUCGUGAGGAAGGUGUUAAGGUUAAUAACCUUAGCAAUUGACGUUAGCGACAGAAGAAGCACCGGCUAACUCCGUGCCAGCAGCCGCGGUAAUACGGAGGGUGCGAGCGUUAAUCGGAAUUACUGGGCGUAAAGGGCACGCAGGCGGUUAAUUAAGUUGGAUGUGAAAUCCCCGGGCUUAACCUGGGAAUGGCAUUCAAGACUGGUUAGCUAGAGUCUUGUAGAGGGGGUAGAAUUCCGAUGUGUAGCGGUGAAAUGCGUAGAGAUGUGGAGGAAUACCGGUGGCGAAGGCGGCCCCUGGCAAAGGACUGACGCUCAUGUGCGAAAGCGUGGGGAGCAAAC